CCUACGGGGGGCAGCAGUGGGGGAUAUUGCACAAUGGGGGGAACCCUGAUGCAGCGACGCCGCGUGGGUGAAGGAGUGCUUCGGCAUGUAAAGCCCUAUCGGCAGGGAAGAAGCAAGACGGUACCUGACUAAGAAGCACCGGCUAACUACGGGCCAGCAGCCGCGGUAAUACGUAGGGGGCGAGCGUUAUCCGGAUUCACUGGGUGUAAGGGGAGCGUAGACGGCCAGGCAAGCCAGGGGUGAAAGCCCGGGGCCCAACCCCGGGACUGCCCUUGAAACUGCAUGGCUGGAGUGCGGGAGGGGAAGGCGGAAUUCCUGGUGUAGCGGUGAAAGGCGUAGAUAUCAGGAGGAACACCGGCGGCGAAGGCGGCCUGCUGGACCGCGACUGACGUUGAGGCUCGAAAGCGUGGGGAGCGAACAGGAUUAGAUACCCCAGUAGUC
RNAcentral lists this ribosomal RNA (441 nucleotides) under uncultured bacterium. RNAcentral's name for it is "partial 16S ribosomal RNA". It matches the Rfam family "Bacterial small subunit ribosomal RNA", at positions 338 to 795 of the family's 1533-position model. The record is from RNAcentral.